Molecule: ribosomal RNA, 435 nt
Filed under: uncultured bacterium
Lineage: Bacteria
Description: partial 16S ribosomal RNA
Rfam family: Bacterial small subunit ribosomal RNA
Source: RNAcentral
AGCGAACGCUGGCGGCAGGCUUAACACAUGCAAGUCGAGCGGGCGUAGCAAUACGUCAGCGGCAGACGGGUGAGUAACGCGUGGGAACGUACCUUUUGGUUCGGAACAACACAGGGAAACUUGUGCUAAUACCGGAUAAGCCCUUACGGGGAAAGAUUUAUCGCCGAAAGAUCGGCCCGCGUCUGAUUAGCUAGUUGGUGAGGUAACGGCUCACCAAGGCGACGAUCAGUAGCUGGUCUGAGAGGAUGAUCAGCCACAUUGGGACUGAGACACGGCCCAAACUCCUACGGGAGGCAGCAGUGGGGAAUAUUGGACAAUGGGGGCAACCCUGAUCCAGCCAUGCCGCGUGAGUGAUGAAGGCCAUAGGGUUGUAAAGCUCUUUUGUGCGGGAAGAUAAUGACGGUACCGCAAGAAUAAGCCCCGGCUAACUUCGUG